Carassius gibelio (silver crucian carp) is the source of this 1576-nucleotide long non-coding RNA. RefSeq lists it as uncharacterized. NCBI's taxonomy places the organism in Eukaryota, Metazoa, Chordata, Actinopteri, Cypriniformes, Cyprinidae. The transcript is spliced from 4 exons. The record is from RefSeq and is a predicted model, not a curated record.
CUAAAACGAAUCCUUCAAAUAGACACAGAUGAGUCAAAAGUUCAAACACACUGUAAAUCACUGUAGUCAUACAGUACGAGUAUAAAGUUGAAUGUAAAGCACCUGGAAUCAUUGAUGAGAAAUCUAGAGAUCUCUGACUUCUGAUGCAGACCUGAGCACACUUUGAGAUUGUUUUCCGAAGGAAAGCUUCGACACCGAGAAGUAAGACUUCACCUGCUUUUCUUUAACACACAACAGCUCUGAACAGAGUUUGGACAAUUAAUCACACUUACAGAUUUUAGAUCCAACACACCUGUCUGUAAGUUACAAAUAAACCCUUAAUUAGUCACUUUAAGAGCGUUUAAUUAGAAUCUGCAGAACUAGGAAGGAAGAACUAGAUGACAAAAUAUCAAUGUAAAAAAGAUAUUUGAGUGACACUUUACAUUAAGGAUCCAUUAGUUAAUUACAUUAGCUAACAAAAAAAUAAUAAUCACAUAAAAUGUUAAUUUCCAAAUUUAUAAAAAAUCAUAUUUGUACAUAUUUAAUCAGCUUGAACUUGCGAUAUAUAAAUAAAUAAUUCUAAAACACUUUUUAUUAAUCUUAGUGCAUUGUAAUAUCAACAUUUACUAAUAUAUUAAUCAAAUUAAAAGAUGAUGGAGUGAAUGUUCAGGUUUCUGAGAAUGCAUUUAUUUAUUAAAAAAAUACAGUUUAAUAGUAAAUAUUAUUCUAAUGUAAAACGGCUGUUUUCUGUGUGAAUCUCUGUUAAAGUGUAAUUUAUUUAUGUGAUGUACAGCUGGAUUUCCAGCAUUACUCUGUCCAAGGCAGAAAUACGUCACAAGUUCUUUAUUAUAGAUCAGUGGUUGCAACUUAUCUCAUUAUUAUGAUUUGGUAAAUAAAUGUAAAUUUUUUAUGUCAUAUGACUUUUUAUCUCAUAUUUCUGACUCCAAUGACUGAUCUCAUAAUUAAGUUUUAUUAAAGCAUGAAUUGUUUCUUAUGUGGCGGAAUGGGCUUCCAUAACAACUGAAAUACAGCUACUGGUCACACACACCCGUAUUUAACACUUGCUAACCUCUGACCCCUCCGUGUGCAACUGAGCAAACAGUGCACGACAAACAACGGAGCGUAAUCAAUGUGCAUCGACCUGUCUAAAGCAGAGAAAUACUGGGACGACUGGUUCAGAGGGACAUCGAACCUCUUUCUGUCCUGCAAUGUCCCAAAACUCCUUCUGCUGGCAGACAAGAGACACGGACCAUCAGACACUCACCCGAAACACAUGAAAACUGCUCAGUUCUGUCCGUUUAAUGUGAAAGGUGUCCUGUGUUCAGGCAUUGAUCGACUGGACAGAGAGCUGACCACUGGACAGAUGCAGGGUGCUGCCUCCUUGUGGACAUGCAGUGCAUGAAGUGGCAGAUGCUUUGGCAAGUUUUAUGAUCAGGCACAAAUUUGCAGAAGCUCGCAGUGAAGCUAAAAGAUGAAGCAGAAGACACCUCGACCGGAUCCAACAUCCUCCACAUCCAGAAAAACAUCGGACUUAAAUCCAGGAAUUGUUUCAACUGUCACUGUCCUGAGUUCAGAAUAAAGAUCUGAAUGUUCUUUA